GACGAACGCUGGCGGCGUGCUUAACACAUGCAAGUCGAACGGAAAGGCCCUGCUGUUGUGGGGUGCUCGAGUGGCGAACGGGUGAGUAACACGUGAGUAACCUGCCCUUGACUUUGGGAUAACUUCUGGAAACUGGGGCUAAUACCGGAUAGGAGCUCCUGCUGCAUGGUGGGGGUUGGAAAGUUUCGGCGGUUGGGGAUGGAAUCGCGGCUUAUCAGCUUGUUGGUGGGGUAGUGGCUUACCAAGGCUUUGACGGGUAGCCGGCCUGAGAGGGUGACCGGCCACAUUGGGACGGAGAUACGGCCCAGACUCCUACGGGAGGCAGCAGAGGGGAAUAUUGCACAAUGGGAGGAAGCCUGAUGCAGCAACGCCGCGUGCGGGAUGACGGCCUUCGGGUUGUAAACCGCUUUCGCCUGUGACGAAGCGUGAGUGACGGUAAUGGGUAAAGAAGCACCGGCUAACUACGUG
Molecule: ribosomal RNA, 468 nt
Filed under: uncultured bacterium
Lineage: Bacteria
Description: partial 16S ribosomal RNA
Rfam family: Bacterial small subunit ribosomal RNA
Source: RNAcentral